This 499-nucleotide ribosomal RNA is filed under the name uncultured bacterium. RNAcentral's name for it is "partial 16S ribosomal RNA". It matches the Rfam family "Bacterial small subunit ribosomal RNA", at positions 28 to 523 of the family's 1533-position model. The record is from RNAcentral.
GAUGAACGCUGGCGGCGUGCCUAACACAUGCAAGUCGAGCGAGAAGUUUGAAAAGUGAGUUUUCGGACCAGUGAUUCAAACGGAAAGCGGCGGACGGGUGAGUAACGCGUAGGCAACCUGCCCCGUGCAGAGGGACAGCCUCGGGAAACCGGGAUUAAGACAUCAUGAUAUCGGGUUAUCACAUGGUAAUCCGGUCAAAGAUUUAUCGGCAUGGGAUGGGCCUGCGUCUGAUUAGCUGGUUGGUGGGGUAACGGCCUUCCAAGGCGACGAUCAGUAGCAGAACUGAGAGGUUCAUCUGCCACAUUGGAACUGAGACACGGUCCAAACUCCUACGGGAGGCAGCAGUGAGGAAUAUUGCACAAUGGGCGAAAGCCUGAUGCAGCAACGCCGCGUGAGCGAAGAAGGCCUUUGGGUCGUAAAGCUCUGUCCUUGGGGAAGAAACAAAUGACGGUACCCUUGGAGGAAGCCCCGGCUAACUACGUGCCAGCCGCCGCGGUAA